AGUAGUCGAUUAUGUGUCUCGAUCAAAGACUACUAUUGUUACAAGUUUCAAAUGCGUCGUGGUGUAUUUAACACCAUGCUAUAUGGUAAACUACUGUUCCAACAAUAUGUUAUCGACAUGUACAUCAAGGUUGAAACCUCUAGGUUAGACUAUAUAAGAAAUCACCAGAAACAAAUACGCUCUGGCCUAUAGCAAGGUGUUGUUGAUAGCCUUCAAGCUGGGGAAAACCGUGCGGAUGCUGUGGGGAAAUGGAUUGUACUUCCUACACCAUUUAUUGGGGGAAGAAGAGAUAGGAGAUGA
RNAcentral lists this ribosomal RNA (300 nucleotides) under Triticum aestivum (bread wheat). RNAcentral describes it as "partial small subunit ribosomal RNA". Lineage: Eukaryota; Viridiplantae; Streptophyta; Magnoliopsida; Poales; Poaceae. The record is from RNAcentral.